GGCUACCUGGCGCAAUGGUAGCGCGUUUGGCUUCGAUCGCUUAACGGCUACUCAACCCAUUAGGGUUAGGGCAACCAAAAGGUUGCAGGUUCGAGUCCUGCGGUGGUCA
Lentinus tigrinus ALCF2SS1-7 is the source of this 109-nucleotide non-coding RNA. The record is from the annotation of a GenBank genome assembly. NCBI's taxonomy places the organism in Eukaryota, Fungi, Basidiomycota, Agaricomycetes, Polyporales, Polyporaceae.